AGUGAACGCCGGCGGUAGGCCUAACACAUGCAAGUCGAACGGCAGCACAGUAAGAGCUUGCUCUUACGGGUGGCGAGUGGCGGACGGGUGAGGAAUACAUCGGAAUCUACUUUUUCGUGGGGGAUAACGUAGGGAAACUUACGCUAAUACCGCAUACGACCUACGGGUGAAAGCAGGGGAUCUUCGGACCUUGCGCGAUUGAAUGAGCCGAUGUCGGAUUAGCUAGUUGGCGGGGUAAAGGCCCACCAAGGCGACGAUCCGUAGCUGGUCUGAGAGGAUGAUCAGCCACACUGGAACUGAGACACGGUCCAGACUCCUACGGGAGGCAGCAGUGGGGAAUAUUGGACAAUGGGCGCAAGCCUGAUCCAGCCAUACCGCGUGGGUGAAGAAGGCCUUCGGGUUGUAAAGCCCUUUUGUUGGGAGAGAAAAGCAGCAGGUUAAUACCCCGCUGUUCUGACGGUACCCAAAGAAUAAGCACCGGCUAACUUCGUG
Molecule: ribosomal RNA, 492 nt
Filed under: uncultured bacterium
Lineage: Bacteria
Description: partial 16S ribosomal RNA
Rfam family: Bacterial small subunit ribosomal RNA
Source: RNAcentral